This 367-nucleotide ribosomal RNA is filed under the name uncultured bacterium. RNAcentral describes it as "bacterial SSU rRNA". It matches the Rfam family "Bacterial small subunit ribosomal RNA", at positions 30 to 394 of the family's 1533-position model. The record is from RNAcentral.
AUUGAACGCUGGCGGCGUGCCUAACACAUGCAAGUCGAGCGGUAACAGGUGUAGCAAUACAUGCUGACGAGCGGCGAACGGGUGAGUAAUGCUUUGGAAUCUUCCCAGUAGUGGGAAUAACCAGUCGAAAGAUUGGCUAAUACCGCAUACGUCUAGUAAAAGGGAAAGCGGGGGCUCGUAAGACCUCGCGCUAUUGGAUGAGCCAAAGUCGGAUUAGCUAGUUGGUGGGGUAAGGCCUACCAAGGCGACAAUCCGUAGCUGGUCUGAGAGGACGACCAGCCACACCGGAACUGAGACACGGUCCGGACUCCUACGGGAGCAGCAGUGGGGAAUAUUGGACAAGUCGGGGGAAACCCUGAUCCAGCGA